RNAcentral lists this ribosomal RNA (932 nucleotides) under uncultured bacterium. RNAcentral describes it as "bacterial SSU rRNA". It matches the Rfam family "Bacterial small subunit ribosomal RNA", at positions 550 to 1482 of the family's 1533-position model. The record is from RNAcentral.
UUUAUUGGGCGUAAAGCGAGCGCAGGCGGUUCUUUAAGUCUGAUGUGAAAGCCCCUGGCUCAACCAGGGAGGGUCAUUGGAAACUGGAGAACUUGAGUGCAGAAGAGGAAAGUGGAAUUCCAUGUGUAGCGGUGAAAUGCGUAGAUAUAUGGAGGAACACCAGUGGCGAAGGCGACUUUCUGGUCUGUAACUGACGCUGAGGCUCGAAAGCAUGGGGAGCAAACAGGAUUAGAUACCCUGGUAGUCCAUGCCGUAAACGAUGAGUGCUAAGUGUUGGAGGGUUUCCGCCCUUCAGUGCUGCAGCUAACGCAUUAAGCACUCCGCCUGGGGAGUACGACCGCAAGGUUGAAACUCAAAGGAAUUGACGGGGGCCCGCACAAGCGGUGGAGCAUGUGGUUUAAUUCGAAGCAACGCGAAGAACCUUACCAGGUCUUGACAUCCUUUGACCACUCUAGAGAUAGAGCUUUCCCUUCGGGGACAAAGUGACAGGUGGUGCAUGGUUGUCGUCAGCUCGUGUCGUGAGAUGUUGGGUUAAGUCCCGCAACGAGCGCAACCCUUAUUAUUAGUUGCCAGCAUUCAGUUGGGCACUCUAGUGAGACUGCCGGUGAUAAACCGGAGGAAGGUGGGGAUGACGUCAAAUCAUCAUGCCCCUUAUGACCUGGGCUACACACGUGCUACAAUGGAUGGUACAACGAGUCGCAAAACCGCGAGGUUAAGCUAAUCUCUUAAAGCCAUUCUCAGUUCGGAUUGUAGGCUGCAAUUCGCCUACAUGAAGCCGGAAUCGCUAGUAAUCGCGGAUCAGAACGCCGCGGUGAAUACGUUCCCGGGCCUUGUACACACCGCCCGUCACACCACGAGAGUUUGUAACACCCAAAGUCGGUGAGGUAACCUUCGGGAGCCAGCCGCCUAAGGUGGGACAGAUAAUUGGGGUG